GGUAAUACGGAGGGUGCAAGCGUUAUCCGGAAUCAUUGGGUUUAAAGGGUCCGCAGGCGGUCAAUUAAGUCAGAGGUGAAAUCCCAUAGCUUAACUAUGGAACUGCCUUUGAUACUGGUUGACUUGAGUUAUACGGAAGUAGAUAGAAUGUGUAGUGUAGCGGUGAAAUGCAUAGAUAUUACACAGAAUACCGAUUGCGAAGGCAGUCUACUACGUAUAUACUGACGCUCAUGGACGAAAGCGUGGGGAGCGAACGGGAUUAGAUACCCCGGUAGUCCACGCCGUAAACGAUGGACACUAGUUGUUGGGAUUUAUCUCAGUGACUAAGCGAAAGUGAUAAGUGUCCCACCUGGGGAGUACGGUCGCAAGAUUGAAACUCAAAGGAAUUGACGG
RNAcentral lists this ribosomal RNA (393 nucleotides) under uncultured Polaribacter sp. Its description in RNAcentral is "bacterial SSU rRNA". It matches the Rfam family "Bacterial small subunit ribosomal RNA", at positions 519 to 916 of the family's 1533-position model. Lineage: Bacteria; Pseudomonadati; Bacteroidota; Flavobacteriia; Flavobacteriales; Flavobacteriaceae. The record is from RNAcentral.